Molecule: ribosomal RNA, 774 nt
Filed under: uncultured Alphaproteobacteria bacterium
Lineage: Bacteria; Pseudomonadati; Pseudomonadota; Alphaproteobacteria
Description: bacterial SSU rRNA
Rfam family: Bacterial small subunit ribosomal RNA
Source: RNAcentral
CAUGCAAGUCGAACGAAGUCUUCGGACUUAGUGGCGGACGGGUGAGUAACACGUGGGAACGUACCUUUUGGUUUGGGAUAACACAGGGAAACUUGUGCUAAUACCAAAUGAGCCCUUAGGGGGAAAGAUUUAUCGCCGAAAGAGCGGCCCGCGUUGGAUUAGCUAGUUGGGGGGGUAAAGGCCCACCAAGGCUACGAUCCAUAGCUGGUCUGAGAGGAUGAUCAGCCACAUUGGGACUGAGACACGGCCCAAACUNNUACGGGAGGCAGCAGUGGGGAAUCUUGCGCAAUGGUCGAAAGACUGACGCAGCCAUGCCGCGUGAAUGAUGAAGGUCUUAGGAUUGUAAAAUUCUUUUAGCAGGGACGAUAAUGACGGUACCUGCAGAAAAAGCCCCGGCUAACUUCGUGCCAGCAGCCGCGGUAAUACGAAGGGGGCUAGCGUUGCUCGGAAUUACUGGGCGUAAAGGGAGCGUAGGCGGGAUAACAAGUUGGGGGUGAAAGCCCGGGGCUCAACCUCGGAAUUGCCUUCAAAACUGUUAUCCUUGAGUAUGGAAGAGGUAAGUGGAACUCCGAGUGUAGAGGUGAAAUUCGUAGAUAUUCGGAAGAACACCAGUGGCGAAGGCGACUUACUGGUCCAUGACUGACGCUGAGGCUCGAAAGCGUGGGGAGCAAACAGGAUUAGAUACCCUGGUAGUCCACGCUGUAAACGAUGAGAGCUAGUUGUCGGGCAGCAUGCCGUUCGGUGACGCAGCUAACGCAUUAAGCUCUCCGCCUG